Molecule: ribosomal RNA, 377 nt
Filed under: uncultured bacterium
Lineage: Bacteria
Description: bacterial SSU rRNA
Rfam family: Bacterial small subunit ribosomal RNA
Source: RNAcentral
UAUUGGACAAUGGGGGAAACCCUGAUCCAGCAAUGCCGCGUGAGUGAUGAAGGCCUUAGGGUUGUAAAGUUCUUUCACCUGUGAAGAUAAUGACGGUAGCAGGAGAAGAAGCCCCGGCUAACUCCGUGCCAGCAGCCGCGGUAAGACGGAGGGGGCUAGCGUUGUUCGGAAUGACUGGGCGUAAAGGGCGCGUAGGCGGUUUUUUAAGUGAGGCGUGAAAGCCCUGGGCUUAACCCAGGAGGUGCGUUUCAUACUGGAAGACUUGAGUACGAGAGAGGAAAGCGGAAUUCCUAGUGUAGAGGUGAAAUUCGUAGAUAUUAGGAAGAACACCAGUGGCGAAGGCGGCUUUCUGGCUCGUAACGGACGCUGAGCGCGAA